RNAcentral lists this ribosomal RNA (500 nucleotides) under uncultured bacterium. RNAcentral's name for it is "partial 16S ribosomal RNA". It matches the Rfam family "Bacterial small subunit ribosomal RNA", at positions 28 to 523 of the family's 1533-position model. The record is from RNAcentral.
GAUGAACGCUGGCGGCAUGCCUUACACAUGCAAGUCGAACGGCAGCACGGGAGCAAUCCUGGUGGCGAGUGGCGAACGGGUGAGUAAUGUAUCGGAACGUGCCCAGUCGUGGGGGAUAACGCAGCGAAAGCUGUGCUAAUACCGCAUACGACCUACUGAUGAAAGCGGGGGAUCGAAAGACCUCGCGCGAGUGGAUCGGCUGAUAUGAGAUCAGGUAGUUGGUGGGGGAAAGGACCACCAAGCCGACGAUCUGUAGCUGGUCUGAGAGGACGACCAGCCACACUGGAACCGAGACACGGUCCAGACUCCUACGGGAGGCAGCAGUGGGGAAUUUUGGACAAUGGGCGCAAGCCUGAUCCAGCAAUGCCGCGUGCAGGAUGAUGGCCUUCGGGUUGUAAACUGCUUUUGUACGGAACGAAACGGUUCUCUCUAAUACAGGGGGCUAAUGACGGUACCGUAAGAAUAAGCACCGGCUAACUACGUGCCAGCCGCCGCGGUAA